Molecule: ribosomal RNA, 611 nt
Filed under: uncultured Roseateles sp.
Lineage: Bacteria; Pseudomonadati; Pseudomonadota; Betaproteobacteria; Burkholderiales; Sphaerotilaceae
Description: bacterial SSU rRNA
Rfam family: Bacterial small subunit ribosomal RNA
Source: RNAcentral
UAACAGGUUAAGCUGACGAGUGGCGAACGGGUGAGUAAUGUAUCGGAACGUGCCCAGUCGUGGGGGAUAACUGCUCGAAAGAGCAGCUAAUACCGCAUACGACCUGAGGGUGAAAGCGGGGGAUCGCAAGACCUCGCGCGAUUGGAGCGGCCGAUAUCAGAUUAGGUAGUUGGUGAGGUAAAGGCUCACCAAGCCGACGAUCUGUAGCUGGUCUGAGAGGACGACCAGCCACACUGGGACUGAGACACGGCCCAGACUCCUACGGGAGGCAGCAGUGGGGAAUUUUGGACAAUGGGCGCAAGCCUGAUCCAGCCAUGCCGCGUGCGGGAAGAAGGCCUUCGGGUUGUAAACCGCUUUUGUCAGGGAAGAAAAGGUUCUGGCUAAUACCUGGGACUCAUGACGGUACCUGAAGAAUAAGCACCGGCUAACUACGUGCCAGCAGCCGCGGUAAUACGUAGGGUGCAAGCGUUAAUCGGAAUUACUGGGCGUAAAGCGUGCGCAGGCGGUUAUGCAAGACAGAGGUGAAAUCCCCGGGCUCAACCUGGGAACUGCCUUUGUGACUGCAUGGCUAGAGUACGGUAGAGGGGGAUGGAAUUCCGCGUGUAGCAGUG